AGUCCUGGUUCAGUAAUAUUGAAAGGAUCUCUGACUCCCUAUCCCUCUCCUACUUUCUUAUCUCCUUUCCACUUUUCUUUCCAGGUCAUUCCCUGCAGUGUGUAGAAUGUCUAGCAAUCAAUGGAUAUUGCUCUGAUGUAAAGGAUGACUGUCCUGAGAAUUUUGUCUGUAUAAUUACGAAGUUGAAGAGUAAAGAUGGAAAAUACAAUGUCACCACAGCAGGUUGCGAAUUGGAAAGUGAGUGCAAGCGAGAGAAAAAGACGAUAGGGCAGAAACUCCCUGUUGAUGCCAUACGUAAUGUUCCAUUUGAAACGGUCGUUGAAAGCGUUGUCUGCAGCACAGACCCUGAUACCUUUAUAAAAGCUAUCAGCAAAGCCCCUCCCUUCUUUGCAUCCUUCUUCUCGGCCUUUCUUGGGCUUCUCCUGAUGAAGCUUCUCCUCUAGAGCUCUUCCUUUCACCCAAGAAGUUGUCCCCUUUUUCCUGUCCUGUAUAAUCUCUCCAGGUGAUCAGGCGAGCUCUUGGAUGUUAUGCAUUGAUCUCUAAAUUUUGUUCCCAUUUCCUGUUUUCCUAUAUUUUCCUUUAAGUGGUAACCAACUAAGUGGACAGAAAUGUAAUCAGCAGCCUUGAACAUGUACUUGGAGAAAAAAAAAUGGUGUGAUUCAAAUAAAGAAAACAAUGAGGAACAAAUAA
This is a non-coding RNA of Thamnophis sirtalis, 690 nucleotides long. The record is from RefSeq and is a predicted model, not a curated record. NCBI's taxonomy places the organism in Eukaryota, Metazoa, Chordata, Lepidosauria, Squamata, Natricidae.